CCUGGUUGCUUGAGCGGUUUGGAACCACCUCUUCCCAUCCCGAACAGAGAAGUGAAACGAACCAGCGCCAAUGAUACUCACUCCAAAGCGGAGCUGGGGAAAGUCGGUCGUAGCCAGGA
Molecule: ribosomal RNA, 119 nt
Filed under: Candidatus Woesebacteria bacterium
Lineage: Bacteria; Candidatus Woeseibacteriota
Also listed under: 2 other names
Source: RNAcentral